GACGAACGCUGGCGGCGUGCUUAACACAUGCAAGUCGAACGGAAAGGCCCUGCUUUUGUGGGGUGCUCGAGUGGCGAACGGGUGAGUAACACGUGAGUAACCUGCCCUUGACUUUGGGAUAGCCUCGGGAAACCGGGAUUAAUACCUUAUGACACUUAGAUAUCGCAUGAUAAUUAAGUUAAAGAAUUUCGGUGAAAGAUGGUCUCGCGUCUGAUUAGCUAGUUGGUAAGGUAACGGCUUACCAAGGCGACGAUCAGUAGCCGGAUUGAGAGGUUGAACGGCCACACUGGAACUGAGACACGGUCCAG
This 308-nucleotide ribosomal RNA is filed under the name uncultured bacterium. Its description in RNAcentral is "bacterial SSU rRNA". It matches the Rfam family "Bacterial small subunit ribosomal RNA", at positions 28 to 334 of the family's 1533-position model. The record is from RNAcentral.